This 253-nucleotide ribosomal RNA is filed under the name uncultured bacterium. Its description in RNAcentral is "partial 16S ribosomal RNA". It matches the Rfam family "Bacterial small subunit ribosomal RNA", at positions 524 to 776 of the family's 1533-position model. The record is from RNAcentral.
UACGGGGGGGGCAAGCGUUGUUCGGAAUUACUGGGCGUAAAGGGCGCGUAGGCGGCCUUCUAAGUCGGACGUGAAAUCCCUCGGCUUAACCGAGGAGCUGCGUCCGAUACUGGAAGGCUUGAAUCCGGGAGAGGGAUGUGGAAUUCCAGGUGUAGCGGUGAAAUGCGUAGAUAUCGGGAGGAACACCUGCGGCGAAGGCGGGUUGCUGGGCUGACACUGACGCUGAUGCGCGAAAGCUAGGGGAGCGAACGGG